Molecule: ribosomal RNA, 420 nt
Filed under: uncultured bacterium
Lineage: Bacteria
Description: bacterial SSU rRNA
Rfam family: Bacterial small subunit ribosomal RNA
Source: RNAcentral
UAAGGAAUAUUGCUCAAUGGGAGAAAUCCUGAAGCAGCAACGCCGCGUGGAGGAUGAAGGGUCUAUGACUUGUAAACUCCUGUAAAGAAGGAAAAAAUUCCCAUUAGAUGGGAGAUGAUGGUACUUCUGGAGUAAGCCCCGGCUAACUACGUGCCAGCAGCCGCGGUAAUACGUAGGGGGCAAGCGUUGUCCGGAUUUACUGGGUGUAAAGGGUGCUCAGGCGGAUUUGUAAGUCAGAGGUGAAAUCUUACAGCUUAACUGUGAAACUGCCUUUGAUACUGCAAGCCUAGAGUAUGGAAGAGAGUGAUGGAAUAUCUGGUGUAGCAGUGAAAUGCGUAGAUAUCAGAUAGAACACCAAUGGCGAAGGCAGUCACUUGGGCCAUUACUGACGCUAAAGCACGAAAGCGUGGGUAGCAAACA